GUGCCGUGAGGUGUUGGGUUAAGUCCCGCAACGAGCGCAACCCCUGUCUUCAGUUACCAACGGGUCAUGCCGGGAACUCUGGAGAGACUGCCCAGGAGAACGGGGAGGAAGGUGGGGAUGACGUCAAGUCAGCAUGGCCUUUAUGCCUGGGGCUACACACGUGCUACAAUGGCCGGUACAAAGGGCUGCAGACCCGUAAGGGGAAGCGAAUCUCAAAAAACCGGCCUCAGUUCAGAUCGAGGUCUGCUACUCGACCUCGUGAAGGCGGAAUCGCUAGUAAUCCCGGAUCAGCACGCCGGGGUGAAUACGUUCCCGGGUCCU
This 321-nucleotide ribosomal RNA is filed under the name uncultured bacterium. RNAcentral's name for it is "bacterial SSU rRNA". It matches the Rfam family "Bacterial small subunit ribosomal RNA", at positions 1062 to 1382 of the family's 1533-position model. The record is from RNAcentral.